RNAcentral lists this ribosomal RNA (424 nucleotides) under Verrucomicrobiota bacterium. RNAcentral describes it as "Verrucomicrobia bacterium partial 16S ribosomal RNA". It matches the Rfam family "Bacterial small subunit ribosomal RNA", at positions 355 to 776 of the family's 1533-position model. Lineage: Bacteria; Pseudomonadati; Verrucomicrobiota. The record is from RNAcentral.
UGAGGAAUAUUGGUCAAUGGACGCAAGUCUGAACCAGCCAAGUAGCGUGCAGGAUGACGUCCCUAUGGGUUGUAAACUGCUUUUAUAUGGGGAUAAAGUGGGGAACGUGUUCCCUUUUGCAGGUACCAUAUGAAUAAGGACCGGCUAAUUCCGUGCCAGCAGCCGCGGUAAUACGGAAGGUUCGGGCGUUAUCCGGAUUUAUUGGGUUUAAAGGGAGCGUAGGCUGUUUGUUAAGCGUGUUGUGAAAUGUAGGAGCUCAACUUUUAGAUUGCAGCGCGAACUGGCAGACUUGAGUGCGCACAACGUAGGCGGAAUUCAUGGUGUAGCGGUGAAAUGCUUAGAUAUCAUGACGAACUCCGAUUGCGAAGGCAGCUUACGGGAGCGCAACUGACGCUAAAGCUCGAAGGUGCGGGUAUCGAACAGG